This 396-nucleotide ribosomal RNA is filed under the name uncultured bacterium. Its description in RNAcentral is "partial 16S ribosomal RNA". It matches the Rfam family "Bacterial small subunit ribosomal RNA", at positions 523 to 918 of the family's 1533-position model. The record is from RNAcentral.
AUACGUAGGUGGCAAGCGUUAUCCGGAAUCAUUGGGCGUAAAGGGUGCGUAGGCGGCCUCUUAAGUUUGUAGUGAAAUCGUAGGGCUCAACUCUAUUAAGCUACAAAAACUGGGGGGCUAGAGUGCGGUAGAGGCUAGUGGGAUUCCAAGUGUAGCGGUAAAAUGCGUAGAUAUAUGGAGGAACACCGGUGGCGAAGGCGGCUAGCUGGGCCGUAACUGACGCUGAGGCGCGAAAGUGUGGGGAGCAAACAGGAUUAGAUACCCUGGUAGUCCACACUGUAAACGAUGGAUACUAGGUGUAGGAGGUAUCGACCCCUUCUGUGCCGCAGUUAACACAAUAAGUAUCCCACCUGGGGAGUACGACCGCAAGGUUGAAACUCAAAUGAAUUGGCGGGG